RNAcentral lists this unclassified non-coding RNA (247 nucleotides) under plant metagenome. Its description in RNAcentral is "partial contains small subunit ribosomal RNA, internal transcribed spacer 1, and 5.8S ribosomal RNA". The stretch from base 1 to 54 matches the Rfam family "Eukaryotic small subunit ribosomal RNA", at positions 1778 to 1831 of the family's 1831-position model. The record is from RNAcentral.
GGUAGUAAAAGUCGUAACAAGGUCUCCGUUGGUGAACCAGCGGAGGGAUCAUUACAGGACUCGCAAGACUCCUACAACCCUGUGAACUUAACUAUAAGCACGUUGCUUCGGCGGGUGUCUCGGAGGGGGUUCUCCCUCCCCGAGACGCUAAACCCGCCGGCAGCCUACUAUACUCUGUCUCUUUGCGUUGGCAUCUCGAGUACAAUCAAACAAGUUAAAACUUUCAACAACGGAUCUCUUGGUUCUG